RNAcentral lists this long non-coding RNA (249 nucleotides) under Helianthus annuus (common sunflower). Its description in RNAcentral is "sRNA HanXRQr2_Chr08g0356131". Lineage: Eukaryota; Viridiplantae; Streptophyta; Magnoliopsida; Asterales; Asteraceae. The record is from RNAcentral.
GAAUCAGAUCUAAAAAUCUCUAAGUUGAAGUAUUGCUUCAUACCUGAGUUUCUCUGAUCUCGAUUAGCAUUCGGGGACUCUCCCUUAUGGUGCCGUUUGAUAUUCCGUGAUCUCUAGCAUUAUUUGGUUAUUAUACAAGAACUACAAAGCAAUCUCAGGAGCUAUUCCAUAGGAUGAUGAUCAUGACACUAGGGCGGACCUGUGCCUUAGAGAAUAAAAAUGAAGAUAGAAUUAGUUUAAUUAUGUUCU